This 482-nucleotide ribosomal RNA is filed under the name uncultured bacterium. RNAcentral describes it as "bacterial SSU rRNA". It matches the Rfam family "Bacterial small subunit ribosomal RNA", at positions 30 to 506 of the family's 1533-position model. The record is from RNAcentral.
UUGAACGCUGGCGGCAUGCUUUACACAUGCAAGUCGAACGGUAACAGGGAGCUUGCUCCGCUGACGAGUGGCGAACGGGUGAGUAAUGCAUCGGAACGUACCCAGUCGUGGGGGAUAACGUAGCGAAAGUUACGCUAAUACCGCAUACGUCCUGAGGGAGAAAGCGGGGGACCGUAAGGCCUCGCGCGAUUGGAGCGGCCGAUGUCGGAUUAGCUAGUUGGUGGGGUAAAGGCCUACCAAGGCGACGAUCCGUAGCGGGUCUGAGAGGAUGAUCCGCCACACUGGGACUGAGACACGGCCCAGACUCCUACGGGAGGCAGCAGUGGGGAAUUUUGGACAAUGGGGGCAACCCUGAUCCAGCCAUGCCGCGUGAGUGAAGAAGGCCUUCGGGUUGUAAACCGCUUUCAGCCGGAAAGAAAUCGUCAAGGCUAAUAUCCUUGAUGGAUGACGGUACCGGAAGAAGAAGCACCGGCUAACUACGU